Haemorhous mexicanus (house finch) is the source of this 740-nucleotide long non-coding RNA. RefSeq lists it as uncharacterized. The record is from RefSeq and is a predicted model, not a curated record. NCBI's taxonomy places the organism in Eukaryota, Metazoa, Chordata, Aves, Passeriformes, Fringillidae. The transcript is spliced from 4 exons.
CCCGGGGAGGGGGCACCCCCUCCCGCCCUGCGCGCCCGGCUCCGCUCCCUCCGUCUCUCCCCUUGCGCUUUUUCCUUAAUUUUCUUUUAUUUUCCCUCCCCCACCCCCACCUAUUUAUUCUCCAUUUUGUUUUGUUUUGGCGUUUCUUCCUGGUUUGGUUUGUUUUGUUCUUCUUCUUUUUUCCAUUCUUGCCUUCUCUCCCCUCCCCGGACGAACACGAAAUUCUCUGUGCCCGCGGAGGCGGAGGGGAGAGGGCAGGAGGCAGCGGAGCGGUGCGGGGCUCGCAGCCCCCAGCCCCACACCGGGCACUGCCUCCCCUCCCGGGAUGCAGGUUCUGCAUUUGGGAGUUCAAAACAACCCUCCAUCCAGAGCCCUCCAGGAACUGGAAAAUCCAGAUUUGCAGUAUCUCCCAGGGAAAGACGAUUUCCUACGUGCUCCCCCCCCCAGCGUGAGGGUCCUGCUGAAGGUUAAACUCAGCCAGACAUGGAUUUCACCUCCUCUGCCAGCACGGAAUGCUCAUCCCCACACUGUGUCCUGGCCUGCUUCAGCUUCCCUGCCUGAAAACAGGGUAAACCCAUCCACCUCCCCAGGGUACAUUAGGGUGGCUUAAAAUUAACGCUCACAAAUGUAUUUUCAAAUCCCUUCAUGAAAGGCAUGGGAAGCACUGGGUGUUAGCAGAAUAGAUCCUUCACCUUUUAACAGCUGUUAAUUGCCAUUAAAACCAAACCUGCACAGCUUUA